CACCGCCGCGGUAAUACGUAGGGUGCGAGCGUUAAUCGGAAUUACUGGGCGUAAAGCGUGCGCAGGCGGUUCGUUAAGACAGAUGUGAAAUCCCCGGGCUUAACCUGGGAACUGCAUUUGUGACUGGCGAGCUAGAGUAUGGCAGAGGGGGGUAGAAUUCCACGUGUAGCAGUGAAAUGCGUAGAGAUGUGGAGGAAUACCGAUGGCGAAGGCAGCCCCCUGGGCCAAUACUGACGCUCAUGCACGAAAGCGUGGGGAGCAAACAGGAUUAGAUACCCCAGUAGUCCCUGUCUCUUAUACC
Molecule: ribosomal RNA, 301 nt
Filed under: uncultured bacterium
Lineage: Bacteria
Description: partial 16S ribosomal RNA
Rfam family: Bacterial small subunit ribosomal RNA
Source: RNAcentral